UUGAUAAAUAGGCUUGAACAAGAGCAUUAUAGGCACAGUAUUACUAUCUAUUGGUAUAAUCGUGAGCUUCCAUAAUUAUUUGAAGAGAAUGGCUAUUGUACUAUUCAUCAGCUUUGCUCUACUAGCUACACAAGUCACAGCUCAAGCAGCAGAUUGCAUUAACAGCACACUCAGACUACCAAUGGAGACAGAUAUUGGUGUUUCUAUCAAAGGGCUUCCUGAGUAUUGCUAUAGUGGAGUAUGGAGGAGGAUAUGCAUGGUUAAUGGAGAAAUGAGGGCAGAAGCAGAAAGAAAGCAAAAACAAGCAUGCAAACAAUUAGGAUACAGCACUAAAAGUGCAUCACUUUUACCAGGACUGCAGCUGGGUACAGAUGAAGAACCAUUUGUAACAAUUGGGAACUGCAGUAUUAAUGCAAAGAGCUUACAAGAAUGUGAAGUGAGAGAGACUACUGACUGUACAAUGCGAGAGCAGCUCAGAUGCAACAGAGCUACCUGCCCAAGUGAACGAGUAAGACUAGUGGGUGGAUCUACUGAGCAUUAAGGUCUAGUGGAGGUGUGCUCUGAUGGACGCUGGGGAACACUGCAUGCUAGAAAUCCAACUGAAAUUGCAAGGGAAGUUUGCAGAAGACUCGUGAAUGGCGAGGAUGAAGCCAAUUUUUCUAGUGUUACAUCAAUUUCUUCCAAGCCUGCCUACAACUGUUCAAUUCUUAGGGGAACACUAACCUGUGAAGAAUCUACUUACGACAAUCAUCAUUUUCAUCUAAACGUUUCAUGUCCAAUUUCUAAUA
Long non-coding RNA from Halichondria panicea, 788 nucleotides. RefSeq lists it as uncharacterized. NCBI's taxonomy places the organism in Eukaryota, Metazoa, Porifera, Demospongiae, Suberitida, Halichondriidae. The transcript is spliced from 5 exons. The record is from RefSeq and is a predicted model, not a curated record.